RNAcentral lists this ribosomal RNA (745 nucleotides) under Agaricus megacystidiatus. RNAcentral's name for it is "eukaryotic LSU rRNA". Lineage: Eukaryota; Fungi; Basidiomycota; Agaricomycetes; Agaricales; Agaricaceae. The record is from RNAcentral.
UUUCCGUAGGUGAACCUGCGGAAGGAUCAUUAUUGAAUUAUGUWUUUAAAUGGGUUGUUAGGCUGGCUCUUUUAGAGCAUGGUGCACGCCCUGUUUGGACUUUCAUUUUCAUCCCACCUGUGCCCCCUAUUGUUAGUCUUUGGUUGAGUUAGGAGGGAAGUNGGUCAUCCUAUCAGCAUCUGCUGGAUGUGGUGGACUUGCAUUGUGAAAACUUUGCUGUCUGCUUUGUGACCAUGAAAUCACUUUCUUGCCAGAGUCUAUGUCUUACAUUAUACUCUGUCGAAUGUCAUUGAAUGUCUUUACAUGGGCUUGUAUGCCUAUGAAAAUUGUAAUACAACUUUCAGCAACGGAUCUCUUGGCUCUCGCAUCGAUGAAGAACGCAGCGAAAUGCGAUAAGUAAUGUGAAUUGCAGAAUUCAGUGAAUCAUCGAAUCUUUGAACGCAUCUUGCGCUCCUUGGUAUUCCGAGGAGCAUGCCUGUUUGAGUGUCAUUAAAUUCUCAACUCUCUUAUACUGUUUUGUAAAGGAGAGCUUGGAUUGUGGAGGCUUGCUGGCCACUUGUAUGGGGUCAGCUCCUCUGAAAUGCAUUAGCGGAACCGUUUGCGAUCUGCCACAAGUGUGAUAACUUAUCUACACUAGCGAGGGGAUUGCUCUCAGUAAUGUUCAGCUUCUAAUUGUCUCUGUUUUGUGAGACUAACUUUUUGAAUGCUUGACCUCAAAUCAGGUAGGACUACCCGCUGAACUUAA